Phascolarctos cinereus (koala) is the source of this 530-nucleotide long non-coding RNA. RefSeq lists it as uncharacterized. Lineage: Eukaryota; Metazoa; Chordata; Mammalia; Diprotodontia; Phascolarctidae. The record is from RefSeq and is a predicted model, not a curated record.
UUAGCAUAUCAUUAAUGGCAGAAUUUAAAUAGCUCUGAGAUACUCUGAAAGCCAUCAUCUCUUGAAAGAAGCUCUCUUGUUCCAGUCACCUGUCUUAGGAGCCUAGAACCAUGAAGCUCUAUCUUUUAGCCUUUCUUAUGGCUCUUCUGGUUGUCCUGGCCGGAGCUGACUCUUCAUCAGAAGAGGAGCACCAUGGCAAGCACCAUCACAAGAAGCCACUUUCUGAAGGAUAUCCUGAAAAUGAUGAAUAUCCUCCAUUUCGUCAACAACCUCCAAUUCCCAAUUCACCAAAUGCACAGCAAGGAGGAUAUCAAUAAUCACAGGUUUGCCUGGAAGACUGACUUGAUCUUUCCAUAUGAUGAAUCUCCAAGUCUACAAAUUCAUCAAUCUCUCCAUCUGCCUACUUACCAGCCUCUAUUAUUGAGCAUUAGUUGGUAGCUCCAAGCUUGUUAGAUUAACAUGAAUCAUUCUUCCAAAGGACUAAUGCUCUUCUUUACACCCUCCAUAAAAUAAAUUCAGCUCAGAGCAUA